GCAGCAGCCGCGGUAAUACAGAGGGUGCGAGCGUUAAUCGGAUUUACUGGGCGUAAAGCGUGCGUAGGCGGCUUCUUAAGUCGGAUGUGAAAUCCCUGAGCUUAACUUAGGAAUUGCAUUCGAUACUGGGAAGCUAGAGUAUGGGAGAGGAUGGUAGAAUUCCAGGUGUAGCGGUGAAAUGCGUAGAGAUCUGGAGGAAUACCGAUGGCGAAGGCAGCCAUCUGGCCUAAUACUGACGCUGAGGUACGAAAGCAUGGGGAGCAAACAGGAUUAGAUUCCCGGGUAGUCCCUGUCUCUUAUAC
This 302-nucleotide ribosomal RNA is filed under the name uncultured bacterium. RNAcentral describes it as "partial 16S ribosomal RNA". It matches the Rfam family "Bacterial small subunit ribosomal RNA", at positions 508 to 807 of the family's 1533-position model. The record is from RNAcentral.